CACCCCUUCCCAUCCCGAACAGGACCGUGAAACGACUCCACGCCGAUGAUAGUGCGGAUUGCCCGUGUGAAAGUAGGUAAUCGUCAGGC
RNAcentral lists this ribosomal RNA (89 nucleotides) under Burkholderia sp. SJZ115. Lineage: Bacteria; Pseudomonadati; Pseudomonadota; Betaproteobacteria; Burkholderiales; Burkholderiaceae. RNAcentral also lists the same sequence under 2 other names. The record is from RNAcentral.